AAGACUGUGGCUUGGCCUGUGGUGGUCACUGUUGGGAGCCUGUCUGGCUGCAGGACUACUCCCCACCUGGGCCCUGGACUGUGGGAAGUGACCCCUGCGGGCAUUUUGCCCAGUGGCCAUCCUGGCUGUCCUUUUCCCCACCAUGCCCUCCUCAGAGGCGUCUCCCUGGCUUCGCUGCCUGGCGCUGCUUGCCACACCUCCUUGCAGGCCUCCAUGAAGAGUGAGUGAGCGCCCGCUGCUCCAGAUCCCCUCUGUGCUGGCCCCAGGCCGGCCUUGAGUCGGUCUCUUGCUGCCUGCAGGGUGCACCUGUCCACCUCCCCUCGAGGUAUCCCAGUGUCUGGAGAACAGGGGCCGAAUGUCUUUUCCAUCCUCUGAGAGCUAAGCAUAAUGCCACCGUGUCUUCAGUAGGGUGUUAAUAACUGAGGAAGGUAAUUUAGAAGAAUUCACCUGGUGCUUCUCAUAAAGAGUUGGUCUCUGGGAAAAUUCUAGAGUCAAGUGGUCUGGAGUAUAUGCCUUUAGACUCAACAGUGUAUCUCAUGAUAUUUUUAAGUUCUGUUUUCAGAUAUUGUGAUAACCUACAACUUUCUGUUAAACAUUAGUCAUUCUGAUGAGUAAAAAGUUCAGAGUGGUUGUUGGGUAGGGAGAGAGAAGGCAACAAGGGUCUUCAGUGGGAUUGGGAAGGUAUUAUUUCUUGAGCAGGUUGUGGUAAAAGGUAUUUGUUUUCAUCGUUUUUAAUAACUUUUGUGUAUGUUUUGAUAUUUAGUAUUUGAUCAAACUCCAAGCGACUGGAUUCAUGGCCAUCGUGAGCUUGCACUUUGCAGCAGGAGAGCUGACUGCAUCUGUGACGGCUCGGACGGCCUGGGACGGUCGUUUCUUUUCUGAGACAGGGUCGUUCUCUGUCACCCAGGCUGGAGCACAGUGGCGCGAUCACGGCUCACUGCAGCUUCAACCUCCUGCCUCAGCCUCCCAAGUAGCUGGGACCACAGGCGUGCACCGUUGUGCCCAGGUCUAAGUGUUUCGAUUUAGAAAUGGUUUCCUCUUAUCUCAGGUGGGAACCACUCCUGCUCCUCACUGAAGUGACCUCAGCGAAUGAAGUGUGGGUGACCUCGAACGGCACAGCGUUAGUCUUUGUCUCUGAUAACGUCAGGGAAGAAUUGGAGGAAGUGCAGGAUCUUCUGUGCAGGACGCUGCCCCUCCCCGUCCAGCUGAGCUUUCCUGAGGAAGCUCUGGAUGUCGCCCGUGUCUGUUGCUCAUGUGUUCGUUUCUCCCUUUUGCUUCUCUGCCGGCUCAGAGGAGAGGAGACGCCGUGAGCGGGACGACCAGAUGUACCGAGAGCGGCUGCGCACCUUGCUGGUCAUCGCGGUUGUCAUGAGCCUCCUGAAUGCUCUCAGCACCAGCGGAGGCAGCAUUUCCUGGAACGACUUUGUCCACGAGAUGCUGGCCAAGGGCGAGGUGCAGCGCGUCCAGGUGGUGCCUGAGAGCGACGUGGUGGAAGUCUACCUGCACCCUGGAGCCGUGGUGUUUGGGCGGCCUCGACUAGCCUUGAUGUACCGAAUGCAGGUUGCAAAUAUUGACAAGUUUGAAGAGAAGCUUCGAGCAG
This 1600-nucleotide small RNA is filed under the name Pan troglodytes (chimpanzee). RNAcentral describes it as "retained intron". Lineage: Eukaryota; Metazoa; Chordata; Mammalia; Primates; Hominidae. The record is from RNAcentral.